UGCCCCGGUAGUGUAGUCCGGUCAAUCAUGUCGGCCUUUCGAGCCGGUGACGCGGGUUCGAAUCCCGCCCGGGGCACCC
This 79-nucleotide transfer RNA is filed under the name subsurface metagenome. RNAcentral describes it as "tRNA-Glu". It matches the Rfam family "tRNA". From Rfam's summary of the family: Transfer RNA (tRNA) molecules are approximately 80 nucleotides in length. The record is from RNAcentral.